GUCUCUCUCACUCUCACUCUCACUCUCACUCUCUCCCACCUUCUCAUCUUCUUCCUCCAUUUUGAAUUGCUUCUGGUUUCCAAAACUCUGAUUUCAUGCUGGGCCUUAUUUGAAUACAUACUUUUUUUUCUAAUAAUCUUCUGCAGAAAAGAAGAAAAAUCUGUUUUUGAUUUUCUGUUUCUUUUUCUGCGUUAGUUUUUUGAGAGAGAGAGAGAGAGUGUGUGUGUGUGUGGAAGAUAUUUUCUGGAGUGCUAUUUUCCACCGUGAAGACUUGGAGGCUAAGGCCUUUCGCUUAGUUCAGAAAUAUUUCAGUAUAAAUAUCAACAUCUGAGGCCACAUGCAGGUAAUUUGUAUGAGCUUCCAAAUUUCUGGGUGUGUUAGUUGUGUAAGUUUCGUGGUGCCAUGUAAGUGUCACGGGAAUUCUUGUUAUUGAAGUUUUGCUCUGGAUCUGUUUCUCUAGUUAUUUUUUCCUUGCAAAGUUUGGAUGCUCUUUUUUAUGCUGUAAUGUGCUGUGCUAUAUGGGAACCGAUUAGGUAAAUCCACUAGCUUAGUUUUAUGAUGGAACUUCCAUUCGCUAUAGUGCUUUUUCAUAUAUUGGAUGAGAUCCGGACCUUUCUCCUUUUUUUCUUCUUGUAUUUUAUCUAAAUCAGUCAUUUGGAACCUAUCUUUUGGUAAAUGCUGCAUGAUUUAUAGAGUGGAACAUUCUUACCUGCUGAUCAGUCCUCUGGACCGUUGGGUGGUUGCUAUGUGACAAAAAGUAUUGGACUUCUACAAUCAGAAACCACCGGAUCCCAUACUUUCAGGUGUAUGGGUGGUGGAUAAGAGGACUGUCCCUUAUUUUAGAAUUUGAUAAAUUCUAUGGUGGAUACCAUACUCUUGGUACCUUUCUCCAUAUGGAUAUGAUUCCAAAGUACUAGUACUUUGUUUGCUAAGCUUGAUGCUUGUUGUGAUCAAACAAGUGGUACUUGCUGCCUGGUGUAGCUUGGUCUUGUGAGUCUUAGGUGUCACAAUUUGAAAGUUGAAAUGUGAAUUGGUUGACCAAAAGCAAAAGGCUGUUAAAUCAGUUGACUGAUCAAGCGGCUUACAGCUAAGAUUGCAUGUCUUCGAUAACUUCAAAUUGUCUUGUUUUGUAUCCAAAUUGAAGCGGCCAAGAAAACUCACUCGUGCUAAAUGGUUCAGGGACUUAUUGAAGUCGUCUGGUUUUACCAAGACUUGUUAGAGUUUGCUCAGCCCCUUGUUGCUUUUGGCGUGACUGCAAUUAAAGCUAGUUGACUACAAUGAAAACUAGGUGAUUACAAGACCUUCAGAAAUAUUUCAUUACCAACUAGGAUACAACCCAUUGGGAGCCUUUUGUAGGCUCGGGGUUUGGCCAAUUGUCGCUUGGGUGACAACCCAUAAGGAGGCCGAAUCAACUUCUAAUGCACUAAUGGGUGAUGAAGUGGCAAAAUAAAGACCCUUAAUAGAAUUGUAUAUAUGUAUGACUUUUUGGGUAAAGUCAUUGACCAAUAUUAUGGUAGUAUUUGUUUUGAAGCUAUUGGUUAUUUUACUAAUGAAUUAUUGCCAUUGGUUGGUGUACUUUGUCAAAGUUGUACAUAUUUGUGUUUCAAGCCCCAUACAUGGACCGAGUAUGUAACGUUACGAUGAGUACGUGAAAGUGAAUAGCAUGGUGGCAAGAUUCUUUCUGAUAGAUCUACUAAUAGACCAUUUCACAAGUAGGUAAAUCCCACAUAUUUAGGUCUCACCUACUUGUGAGAUGAUCUACUGGUGGAUUUGGUUCAUAAUAGACACUUUCGUAGUAGGAAGGCUUAGCUUUGCAGUUCAUGCACAUGGCUAGAUGUGCAUGCUCAACUGCACAUGGUUGGAUGAGUGUGUGCGACUGCUUAUAGCUUGAUGAUCUUGCUCUAUUGGCUACUUUAUAGCAUAGACUUGGUUUGCCUCUGCAAUAUUGAGUCCAUGACUAAUUUGAUAAGCGUGCUUGACUGCUCAUGGCUGGAUGAGCAUGCUUGAAUGCUUAUGCACUGUUGACUAGCCAGCUCUAUCGACUACUUUAAGUGUAGACUUGAUUUACUUAUGCAAUAUUGAGUCCAUGACGAAUUUGAUAAAUGUGUUUCAUGUGAUUUUCUUUCAAUGGUGAGUAAGCAUUUGAAGUAAUGCUUCUCAGCAUAGAAGCACCCCGUGGAUCCCAUUGGGCGCAAAAGAGCUCCCACUAUUUGUCUAAUGUGUCCCUCGACACCUCAUAUUAAUUUGUUUGAAAAUACAUUUUAUUUGUGAACUUUUGAGAUAGUAGAUGACUUGAAAAUCUAAGAAGACCAAAAGUUGAAAAGUUGCUUUUUAAAUAUUUGAUACAAAUAUAAAACUAUAUAUUCUAUAAUUUGCUUUUUAUUCUUUAUUUGAAUAAAUUUGCCAAGUAUUUGCUUGUUAUUCUUUAGAGAGGGAAAGUUUAACAAAUGGGAGUAGGAAGUUAAUGUACAUAACAAGAAGGGUGUAACUUUGGUCUGAUUUUCAUUUGAGAAAUUGGUGACUAUUCAUGUUUACGGAUUAUCAAAAAUAGUAUUAUUUAUGAAAACAAACUCAUAGUCAUUUAAGCAGGUUGCGAGGAAGUUGACAACUAGUCUCUAGAGGUCAGAGCUCUUCGUUUAACCAUUGUUUCUUUUGAGUAAAUAGAAUUAGUAACAUUUUCAGAUCUCUUCGUUAAACAUUUUGAUUAAAUUGAAUUAGUAACCAUUGUCAGACUCUUCGUUAAACAAGUUAGUAAAUAGAAUUAGUAACACUUUUUUAUAGUCCUUAGACGGAAAGUGGAAGCAUGUAUUUGAGUGUGUUGGAUUGAAGGGAAACGGGUAGGAACAGUUCUCAGUAUAACUAUUUUUGAACGUUGUAAUAUUAUUUGAACAAAUUGUAACUUCUUGUUAAUUACUUGUACAACUUCUCAACAUCAGUUUAAUAUUUGAUCGUUGUUCACGUCGGCUCAUAUAAUAGCUGCGUCCUCUUUAUGAGUUUGUACAAAUAGCGUCAAUAAGAUAUUACUUCAUUUACGAAUGGUA
Long non-coding RNA from Coffea arabica (coffee), 3041 nucleotides. RefSeq lists it as uncharacterized. Lineage: Eukaryota; Viridiplantae; Streptophyta; Magnoliopsida; Gentianales; Rubiaceae. The record is from RefSeq and is a predicted model, not a curated record.